UCUGUUAGUCCAUGCGCGCACAUGCAUCAUUACAGCACUGGGUUAAAAAAAGAUUGUUUAUUAACAUUAAGGGAAAAAUGAAACAUGAAACACAACCUCAAAAGUUACAAAUACAAUUAUGAGCACAAGGAGAAUUUUGUGUCAAAUGGUACAAUGCAACGUAACAAUUUAUUGUCCUGCGUUGUUUUCACACCGGUGUAAAAAUCAGAUCAAGAACUGGAUAACUUCUCCCGUAUAAUUGUUCAACAACCAGAGAUAUAGCUGUAGUGAUCCCAGAAGAGCCCACCUGUCAUGUGGAGAGAAAGGUCAAGCAAAUUGUCCUUGUGAGGUGAACAAGGCAGCAGAAUCCGACGAAAAUUUACUGCUUCAACAUUUUUACGGUUUGUCAUUGUUGGUUCCUUUGCUUGCACCUGAAGCCUGAGUUUCCUGCGUUUCCAACUGUUUUGCUUUCUUAGUCAAAUCAGAUGUUUCAACCUUGGCUUGCUCUUGGCCAGGUUCCUGCUUACUCUCCCAUAACUUCCCACCCUUUCCAAUUGCAAGAAUCAGCUCCAGUUGUUUUUGUUGCUGCUCCUACAAAGAAAUUGAAGUCAAAUAAACUGCAUUUUAGCUCCCCAGAGUCAAAUGCAUUCAUCUUAAAAAUGAAUCUAAGAAUAAUCCUUUGUGCAUGGCAUAUAAGAUAUCCAUUAAUAAAAAGAGAUGGCUACAUUUUUUUUUACCAAAAUUAUUCAAGCGGUGCAGGUAUGAAUACAUUGUUAAAGUCAAACGAGGCUAACAGACAGAUUUGACCAGAUCCGACUUGAACUAGAACAGAUUGAUUAGACCAGUUUGGUCUGGUUCCUGGUCAAAACUGGAUUUUUUUUUUUUUAAAUAACCACAUAAUUUGAUCAAACUGGAUGAAUUGAGCUGGAACCGGGAUUGGAACUUAGGGCACACUUUGGUCUGGUCCCGGGUCCCCAACUUUUAGGACCAGAACCACCGGUCCAGUUCAGUUCUUGCCUGGAACAGGAUCACGCCCAGGCUUAAACACAAGCCAACCUAGCAACUUUUAGACCCAUGAAUCAACACCGAUGAAAAGAUCUUAAACAUACAAUGUUUGUCCUAAAAUCCCAGAGAAAUCAAGCUAGACAUACACAAAACAACAUUAAACAGAUACAUCUAUGUGCAAUAUAUCAUCUUGAGGUUCUUGACAUCAACUUGUCUAGUAUCCCAGUAGACCAACCUUGAUACAUUUGACUACUAAAUACCAAAGUCCCUUAAGCACGUAUGGCAAGAACCCAUUGGCAUUAUGAAACUAUUCAGUUGAACAUACCUGCAUUGCCAACAAGACCUUCUGAAUUUCUCCAAGCUCCUUUUCCAGGAUAUCUUCCUGCACUGCUAGUGCUCGAGUAGCCUCAGAGUUCUUUUUUGCCAAAGCUGCAGUCUUCAGAUAGAGAUAAAGUAUGUUCAUAGAAAUUAAUAUCUUAUGAAACAAAUUAGUUAACUUACGAAAAACCAGCAGCAAAAUUUACCAAUCAGUAAUAGUUACUAACAUAACAAAUUCUCUCUUUCUCAUUAUAACCUAUUCAGACUCCAGUUAUUGCUCUACCACUUAUGUCCCUAGUUUAUCAAUUAAUCUCCGAUACUCAAGCAUUAAUGAAGCCAUGAAAUUAGGAUUCAAUACACAUUUAAACAAGACUUAAAAUGAUACUGAUCUAAGAGAUAUAGCACGUGUAUAAUCAUAGUUGCAGUUUCACAACCGGUCCAAAAUAAAUUUGGGUGUCAAUCAAAUUCUGUUGGUAGCUCGCAUUACCUUAAUUAUGAAGUAGGCAACUAUUAGACUUACAGUUAGUAAACAGAAAGAAUAAAUGGAACACACGAGGAAAAGCCAUUAUCUUGCAUUAAGAGGGUUCUCCAAACACUGGCAGAAAGUGGCAUAUGCAACAAAUAGUUUUAGGUGAUUGUGACUUUUUAUUUUUCACAUAAAGAAAACAGCCAAGAUGCUAAAAAUCAUUGGCGUGCAAGCAAAGCAUUUAGCCAUGAAAGUAUAGCACAUGAAAAUCUUAACAAGAGACAGCCAAUUGGAGACCAAUCUGUCGAUUAAUAAUUUGUCCUAAACAAAAACCCAGCUUUCUCAUAGAUAUGACAGUGCUUUGCAUGAAUAAAAUGGAUAACAGAGAGAUAGAAGGUGAACAGAAACUAAAAAUAAUAAUUAUAACAAAGCGCUUCCAGUAAGAAAUAACAAUCCUCAACCUCAAGCAAUAAGAUAUUGAGCAUCAGAUCCAACUUACAAGAUAAUUAACAAAGAUAUAAUGAGUGGUGCAGACCGCAGAGCGACUUCUUUAUGUAUAUAUAUUGCUUGCAAUCCUAAGCAUUCUUCCUUAGCCGCCUUCAUUUUUUCAAACCUUCAGCAUUUCACACAUGGGACUCUAAAACUAAUAAACCUUAAAUUUCUCUCAGUGAAACUUGUAAUUAUGCUAAUAUAUGAGAAAAAUCCUCAAGGAAUGUAACAGCACUAUGGAAUUGCGUUUUCUGAAGCUAAAUUAACUCAUCCUUACUCCCUUAAUCUUCUACUUCAACACAAUGCAAUAUCCAAAACAGCAAAAUAGUUAACAAAAACAGUCAAGAGUCAUAUAUAUAUAUAAAACAAAAAAUGAGUAUACCUCAGCAAUGGGCUCUUUCAAAGCUUUCCUUGUAAUCCGAAACCUAAUCCCUAACUUCUCAAGCUGCCUCGACAAGACCCGAAUUAUCGUGGCAGAACUCCUCAAAUCCUCCUCCAAUUUUUCAAUCCUCUCCACCAAAUUCACACUCUCUCGACCCUCCCUUACCGUUACUCUACAAAGGCGCAGCCAUUGCCGCCUCCUAAUCCACGCACCAAUCACCAUGCCACUCAUCAUCACCACCAAUCCCCAAGCAAACGCCUUGUUACUCCCUAUGACCCCCAACACCGUCUUUUUAGAGCUUAAAACCGUAGAAUUCACUGCAUAACUGAUUGUAAUAAUAGCCGACAAGACAAUACAUAAAAACUCAGCAAUUGAGAGAAAAACAUCGAGAUUGAAACCAUCGGAGACUUGUGCGCUUACUGUGUCAUCGGAUUGAUAAGCUUUGAGAGGAAAACUAUAGGAUUUUGCGGAAAAACUGAAAAGGACUUGGGGUUUGUAGGGGAAAUUUUGUAGAUGUAAGGAAUUGGAUAAGUGGCGGGAGAGGAUUGGAGGGGAGAAAUUAGGGUUUUUAAGAGAGGGUUUAAUGGGGGUAAUGAAGUAGAAAGGCAGGCGAGAAGGUGAGUUUGCGAUUGCGAAGAGGCGAUGAAAGGUGAGUGACAUUGUCGUUUUGAUUUCGUUGUGUUUUAGGGUUUUGGAUAGAGAAAAGACAUGAUCUGUGUUUCAGUUCGUCUGUGAAAGAAAGAAAGGGAGGGACCAGCUCACCUAAGCUAUGGGUAUGGCGAUGGUUACGAUGAUUGGCGCGCUUAGGGCUAUCCGCGCAUUUUAGU
RNAcentral lists this unclassified non-coding RNA (3466 nucleotides) under Hevea brasiliensis (rubber tree). Lineage: Eukaryota; Viridiplantae; Streptophyta; Magnoliopsida; Malpighiales; Euphorbiaceae. The record is from RNAcentral.